AAUAAACUAUUAUUUACUUUAGAAAAUGAACGCAAAAAGCUUAGAUAUGGAGUGGCCUAGCUACCCCACGUUUGGUUCCUUAUAGCUUAGAAUUUUUAGAGAAACCCCAUUCAUCCUCAAAAGGCAAAGCAGCUAACAGAUGAAGGACCACCGCAUUAUUGCUUACACCUUUUACACCAAAUCUCCCACCUUCAUUAUCCUCCAAUCAUUUUACCCCUUAGAAUUGCAAUGCAAUGCAAAGGGUAAAUGAGGGUAAAUGAAAACCAGAUGAAAACAUGCUGUUGUUUUUCUCUUGAAUAUUAUGUGAUAAUGUUCUUUAUUUAGUUUCCUCUUAAAACUUCUCACAUGGAGAUGAUUUUUCAACUACCCUUGUUCCAAUGCUAUAUUCGCCCUAUAUGAACAAAAGAAAGCAUGCAAAGCGUCAGGUUGGUUACCUUACAGGACAAUCUUAGUUACAAUUUAAGCAAUGAAUCAAGUGCUAAAUAGAAAGGUUAGUUAGAUAGUAAAACUAUUCCAAAGCAGCAAUAGUCAAUAUUCUAAGGAAAGAAAAAAACCAGUGAAACGAAUAUCUCACGAGAUAUGAAGGUGAUUUGUCCUUUGCAACUUUGCCUUAUCAUCACGCACUAUAAAUCAACAGCCCAACUCUCUUUUCAUUAAUUGGAGGUUACGAACUUGCAACAAAUAGGCACCUUAUUUGCUCCUUCAGAAACCGAUACCCUCAC
This 722-nucleotide long non-coding RNA is filed under the name Gossypium barbadense (sea-island cotton). RNAcentral describes it as "long non-coding RNA (GBAR_LNC001877)". The record is from RNAcentral. Lineage: Eukaryota; Viridiplantae; Streptophyta; Magnoliopsida; Malvales; Malvaceae.